Araneus ventricosus is the source of this 72-nucleotide non-coding RNA. NCBI's taxonomy places the organism in Eukaryota, Metazoa, Arthropoda, Arachnida, Araneae, Araneidae. The record is from the annotation of a GenBank genome assembly.
AGCCAUGCAGAGAUUCGAACUCGCCGCCCUGGUUUACGAGACCAGUGCUCUAACCUCUGAGGCUAUGGUGGC